Molecule: long non-coding RNA, 409 nt
Filed under: Chinchilla lanigera (long-tailed chinchilla)
Lineage: Eukaryota; Metazoa; Chordata; Mammalia; Rodentia; Chinchillidae
Description: lncRNA (ENSCLAG00000027420.1)
Source: RNAcentral
UUUCAUUAAGCAGGCUGCUUUUUGGCCGACAGAAUUUUCUCAUUAUACAAACGCUGUAGAAGAGGGGCGUCGCGAAUAUGCUUGACCCUAGAUAGCCCAGGGACGGGCUGUGGUCCGUCAUUAUCCCCUCACACAUACCUCUGCCAGUUAAAUGCCAAAUUUUGGUCUCAACCAAGCAGAAAUCCUGCUAUUCCUCAAAAAGCUAAGGAGCCCAUUACCGAGCGAAGUCUCCCGUUCAACAGCAGCUCUGAGCUCUGAGCCACCAAACAGCCACGCAGUACUUUCCAGAGAGCCGACCCGUCACUGCGGGUCACCUCCUCUGAGCAUUUCUCAAGACUGUAGAGCUGCUCCAUCUUUCAGCUUCUCCAAGAAGUCCUCCUGCGGUCUUCGGUUUAUCCUGUCAUGCUCC